CACUCAAAAUGAUGGAUCACUCAGCUACGUAAUACAGAAUGCAGCAAGCUGCAAUAAUUAGUAUGAAUUGCAGUACACAUUGAUUAUCAACACUUUGAAGACACUUUGUGGCCCAAGGUUCCUUCCGGGGCUUUAUUUAUCUGAGGGCUG
Molecule: non-coding RNA, 150 nt
Organism: Pelobates cultripes (western spadefoot toad)
Lineage: Eukaryota; Metazoa; Chordata; Amphibia; Anura; Pelobatidae
Source: the annotation of a GenBank genome assembly